AUGCAAGUCGAGCGGACAGAUGGGAGCUUGCUCCCUGAUGUUAGCGGCGGACGGGUGAGUAACACGUGGGUAACCUGCCUGUAAGACUGGGAUAACUCCGGGAAACCGGGGCUAAUACCGGAUGGUUGUUUGAACCGCAUGGUUCAAACAUAAAAGGUGGCUUCGGCUACCACUUACAGAUGGACCCGCGGCGCAUUAACUAGUUGGUGAGGUAACGGCUCACCAAGGGAACGAUGCGUAACCGACCUGAGAGGGUGAUCGGCCACACUGGGACUGAAACACGGCCCAAACUCCUACGGGAGGCAGCAGUAGGGAAUCUUCCGCAAUGGACGAAAGUCUGACGGAACAACGCCCCGUGAGUGAUGAAGGUUUUCGGAUCGUAAAGCUCUGUUGUUAGGGAAGAACAAGUACCGUUCGAAUAGGGCGGUACCUUGACGGUACCUAACCAGAAAGCCACGGCUAACUACGUGCCAGCAGCCGCGGUAAUACGUAAGUGGCAAGCGUUGUCCGGAAUUAUUGGGCGUAAAGGGCUCGCAGGCGGUUUCUUAAGUCUGAUGUGAAAGCCCCCGGCUCAACCGGGGAGGGUCAUUGGAAACUGGGGAACUUGAGUGCAGAAGAAGAGAGUGGAAUUCCACGUGUAGCGGUGAAAUGCGUAGAGAUGUGGAGGAACACCAGUGGCGAAAGCGACUCUCUGGUCUGUAACUGACGCUGAAGAGCGAAAGCGUGGGGAGCGAACAGGAUUAGAUACCCUGGUAGUCCACGCCGUAAACGAUGAGUGCUAAGUGUUAAGGGGUUUCCGCCCC
RNAcentral lists this ribosomal RNA (803 nucleotides) under Bacillus subtilis. RNAcentral's name for it is "bacterial SSU rRNA". It matches the Rfam family "Bacterial small subunit ribosomal RNA", at positions 55 to 839 of the family's 1533-position model. The record is from RNAcentral. Lineage: Bacteria; Bacillati; Bacillota; Bacilli; Caryophanales; Bacillaceae.